This 69-nucleotide transfer RNA is filed under the name Monodelphis domestica (gray short-tailed opossum). It matches the Rfam family "tRNA". Rfam says of the family: Transfer RNA (tRNA) molecules are approximately 80 nucleotides in length. Their secondary structure includes four short double-helical elements and three loops (D, anti-codon, and T loops). Lineage: Eukaryota; Metazoa; Chordata; Mammalia; Didelphimorphia; Didelphidae. The record is from Rfam by way of RNAcentral.
AUCAUAGUGCCAUAGGAAAAGUACUAGUUUUGAAGACAGAAGAUGUAGGUUCAAAUCCUGCCUCUGAUA